UACAGAGGGGGCAAGCGUUAUUCGGAAUUACUGGGCGUAAAGGGCGCGUAGGCGGCGUAACAAGUCACUUGUGAAAUCUCCGGGCUUAACCCGGAGCGGCCAAGUGAUACUGUUGUGCUAGAGUGCGGAAGGGGCUACUGGAAUUCUCGGUGUAGCGGUGAAAUGCGUAGAUAUCGAGAGGAACACCUGCGGCGAAGGCGGGUAGCUGGGCCGACACUGACGCUGAGACGCGAAAGCGUGGGGAGCGAACAGG
RNAcentral lists this ribosomal RNA (253 nucleotides) under uncultured bacterium. RNAcentral's name for it is "partial 16S ribosomal RNA". It matches the Rfam family "Bacterial small subunit ribosomal RNA", at positions 524 to 776 of the family's 1533-position model. The record is from RNAcentral.